Long non-coding RNA from Ipomoea nil (Japanese morning glory), 326 nucleotides. RefSeq lists it as uncharacterized. The transcript is spliced from 2 exons. NCBI's taxonomy places the organism in Eukaryota, Viridiplantae, Streptophyta, Magnoliopsida, Solanales, Convolvulaceae. The record is from RefSeq and is a predicted model, not a curated record.
CACUCAUCGGCGUGCUUGCUUGAAUGAUGUGGAUCGGUUUGGCAAGCUUUCGGAUUUCCCUUCACUAGUAGACACAUUUAAUAUUUGAUUAGACUUAAUUUUGUGGGGAGUUCUAUGUUGUUUUCGUUAUUCUUUCUAGGUUUGAUCCAAUAUUGGGGUUAAUUAACCUAAUGCUAAGAGGUUCCAUGUAGAGCGGCCCUGUGAUACUCAUUAGUGGUUUUAUCAAGCUUGGUUUUAUUCCUUCUAAAAGCUUGGUUUUGAUUUCCCAAAAUUUCUUCACUCUUUUACUGUAUGUAUAAUUUAGUAAAAUCCUAAUUCUUCCUUUA